CCCAGGGUAGUGUAGUGGUUUUAGUGUUGGACUAUGACUCUGGAGACCAGGGUUUGAUUCCCAGCUUAGCCA
RNAcentral lists this transfer RNA (72 nucleotides) under Phrynosoma platyrhinos (Desert horned lizard). RNAcentral's name for it is "tRNA-OTHER". The record is from RNAcentral. Lineage: Eukaryota; Metazoa; Chordata; Lepidosauria; Squamata; Phrynosomatidae.